This 418-nucleotide ribosomal RNA is filed under the name uncultured soil bacterium. RNAcentral's name for it is "bacterial SSU rRNA". It matches the Rfam family "Bacterial small subunit ribosomal RNA", at positions 64 to 519 of the family's 1533-position model. The record is from RNAcentral.
GAGCGAUCGUAGCAAUACGGGAGCGGCAAACGGGGUAGGAAUACCUCGGAACAUACCCUCAGGUCGGGGAUAGCGGCGGGAAACUGCCGGUAAUACCCGAUGAUAUCGAGAGAUCAAAGGUUUACUGCCUGGGGAGUGGCCGAGGCGAUAUUAGCUAGUUGGUGAGGUAAUGGCUCACCAAGGCAUAGAUGUCUAGGGGGCGUGAGAGCGCGACCCCCACCACUGGGACUGAGAAACUGCCCAGACACCUACGGGUGGCUGCAGUCGAGAAUCUUCGUCAAUGGGGGAAACCCUGAACGAGCGACGCCGCGUGUGGGAUGAAGGCCUUUGGGUUGUAAACCACUGUCAGGGGGGAUGAAACCGCAAGGUUGACAGAGCCCCAGAGGAAGCACGGGCUAAGUUCGUGCCAGCAGCCGCG